UUCUGUGAUUGCUUCUGAGGUAACAGAAGUAGUCUACAAGAAUGAGCAAUGAGGAACCUAUGAGUAGGAAAAGUUAGCAUAUAUAUGCAUGUGGGUGAGUUUUUUAGUCAGUCAGGUGAUCUUCAAGUUAUUCUAAACCAUAAAACCUUUGCUUGAGGAAAAUGUUUGAAAAAGAUGCUGAAUGCUGUUCUGUCCAGAUGACAAAACUGCAGAAAUACAGCUGUUGCUGUAUCUCGGGAGUAUCAAAGGAGGCAUCAACCAAAGUGGACAAAUUUACUCUGACAUUUAAACACUUCUUGUUGUGUGAGGAAUGAAAGAAACGUACUCCAAAGACUUCCUGGCAAAUUAAGUGGAAGGAACUUCUUGUGCCUUUUUGAUACAAAACGUAUUAGCAGAUGAGAAACAUUGUGUUCUUUUGUGAAGCCACACAUCCUUGAGUACUGUGCUGACAUCUUGCAAAAUGAAGCCAUCAGCAAUGUUUGAGUGUGAGCAUCCAUGUCCCAGCUGAGGCUUUAUUAUGCUCUACAGCCAGGCAGGCAUUGUAUCCAUGGCCUUUCUCAUGCUUCCCUCUAGGCAAGGAGACUUUGGCAUAUUUGAUCUAUAACUAACCACGACUCACAAAGCCUUGACAAAGACUGCUGUCAUAUGUACUGGAGACAGAUCCUCAAAUCAGAAUGUAGAAUUAAAUCCAUGUGCUCCCCAAGCCCUUUUAUAAAGCAGAAGUGGAGUUAC
This is a long non-coding RNA of Tympanuchus pallidicinctus (lesser prairie-chicken), 732 nucleotides long. RefSeq lists it as uncharacterized. The transcript has 4 exons. Lineage: Eukaryota; Metazoa; Chordata; Aves; Galliformes; Phasianidae. The record is from RefSeq and is a predicted model, not a curated record.